RNAcentral lists this ribosomal RNA (325 nucleotides) under uncultured eukaryote. Its description in RNAcentral is "partial 18S ribosomal RNA". It matches the Rfam family "Eukaryotic small subunit ribosomal RNA", at positions 1470 to 1796 of the family's 1831-position model. The record is from RNAcentral.
CCCUUAGAUGUUCUGGGCCGCACGCGCGCUACACUGACGAAUUCAACGAGUUUAUAACCUUGACCGAGAGGUCUGGGUAAUCUUUUGAAAUUUCGUCGUGAUGGGGCUAGAUUAUUGCAAUUAUUAAUCUUAAACGAGGAAUUCCUAGUAAACGCAAGUCAUCAGCUUGCAUUGAUUACGUCCCUGCCCUUUGUACACACCGCCCGUCGCUCCUACCGAUUGGAUGGUCCGGUGAAAUGUAUGGACCGUGACAGGACUGGGCAACCGGACCUGUUGUGGGAAGUUCAUUAAACCUUAUUAUCUAGAGGAAGGAGAAGUCGUAACA